UCUAAUAUGACAGAUUAAUGUAUUGAAUUUAAACUUCAAAAAUAAAAUUUAAAUUUUUAUUAGAA
Molecule: transfer RNA, 65 nt
Filed under: Xiphydria sp. ZJUH 2008002
Lineage: Eukaryota; Metazoa; Arthropoda; Insecta; Hymenoptera; Xiphydriidae
Description: tRNA-Leu
Rfam family: tRNA
About the family: Transfer RNA (tRNA) molecules are approximately 80 nucleotides in length.
Source: RNAcentral